Molecule: ribosomal RNA, 798 nt
Filed under: uncultured Glomeromycotina
Lineage: Eukaryota; Fungi; Glomeromycota
Description: SSU rRNA
Rfam family: Eukaryotic small subunit ribosomal RNA
Source: RNAcentral
AUCAACUUUCGAUGGUAGGAUAGAGGCCUACCAUGGUGGUAACGGGUAACGGGGUGUUAGGGCACGACACCGGAGAGGGAGCCUGAGAAACGGCUACCACAUCCAAGGAUGGCAGCAGGCGCGCAAAUUACCCAAUCCCGACACGGGGAGGUAGUGACAAUAAAUAACAAUACGGGGUUCUUUCGGAUCUCGUAAUUGGAAUGAGUACAAUUUAAAUCUCUUAACGAGGAACAAUUGGAGGGCAAGUCUGGUGCCAGCAGCCGCGGUAAUUCCAGCUCCAAUAGCGUAUAUUAAAGUUGUUGCAGUUAAAAAGCUCGUAGUUGAAUUUCGGGGUUAGUAAGUUGGUCAUGCCUUUGGUAUGCACUGGCUUUACUGAUUCCUCCUUCUUGACGAACCGUGAUGUCAUUAAUUUGGUGUUGCGGGAAAUCAGGACUGUUACUUUGAAAAAAUUAGAGUGUUUAAAGCAGGCUAACGCUUGAAUACAUUAGCAUGGAAUAAUGAAAUAGGACGUCGAUCCUAUUUUGUUGGUUUCUAGGAUCGACGUAAUGAUUAAUAGGGAUAGUUGGGGGCAUUAGUAUUCAAUUGUCAGAGGUGAAAUUCUUGGAUUUAUUGAAGACUAACUACUGCGAAAGCAUUUGCCAAGGAUGUUUUCAUUAAUCAAGAACGAAAGUUAGGGGAUCGAAGACGAUCAGAUACCGUCGUAGUCUUAACCAUAAACUAUGCCGACUAGGGAUCGGAUGAUGUUAAUUUUUUAAUGACUCAUUCGGCGCCUUACGGGAAACCAAAGUGUUUGGGUUC